RNAcentral lists this ribosomal RNA (2930 nucleotides) under Escherichia coli. RNAcentral describes it as "23S ribosomal RNA". It matches the Rfam family "Bacterial large subunit ribosomal RNA". Lineage: Bacteria; Pseudomonadati; Pseudomonadota; Gammaproteobacteria; Enterobacterales; Enterobacteriaceae. The record is from RNAcentral.
GGGUUGUGAGGUUAAGCGACUAAGCGUACACGGUGGAUGCCCUGGCAGUCAGAGGCGAUGAAGGACGUGCUAAUCUGCGAUAAGCGUCGGUAAGGUGAUAUGAACCGUUAUAACCGGCGAUUUCCGAAUGGGGAAACCCAGUGUGUUUCGACACACUAUCAUUAACUGAAUCCAUAGGUUAAUGAGGCGAACCGGGGGAACUGAAACAUCUAAGUACCCCGAGGAAAAGAAAUCAACCGAGAUUCCCCCAGUAGCGGCGAGCGAACGGGGAGCAGCCCAGAGCCUGAAUCAGUGUGUGUGUUAGUGGAAGCGUCUGGAAAGGCGCGCGAUACAGGGUGACAGCCCCGUACACAAAAAUGCACAUGCUGUGAGCUCGAUGAGUAGGGCGGGACACGUGGUAUCCUGUCUGAAUAUGGGGGGACCAUCCUCCAAGGCUAAAUACUCCUGACUGACCGAUAGUGAACCAGUACCGUGAGGGAAAGGCGAAAAGAACCCCGGCGAGGGGAGUGAAAAAGAACCUGAAACCGUGUACGUACAAGCAGUGGGAGCACGCUUAGGCGUGUGACUGCGUACCUUUUGUAUAAUGGGUCAGCGACUUAUAUUCUGUAGCAAGGUUAACCGAAUAGGGGAGCCGAAGGGAAACCGAGUCUUAACUGGGCGUUAAGUUGCAGGGUAUAGACCCGAAACCCGGUGAUCUAGCCAUGGGCAGGUUGAAGGUUGGGUAACACUAACUGGAGGACCGAACCGACUAAUGUUGAAAAAUUAGCGGAUGACUUGUGGCUGGGGGUGAAAGGCCAAUCAAACCGGGAGAUAGCUGGUUCUCCCCGAAAGCUAUUUAGGUAGCGCCUCGUGAAUUCAUCUCCGGGGGUAGAGCACUGUUUCGGCAAGGGGGUCAUCCCGACUUACCAACCCGAUGCAAACUGCGAAUACCGGAGAAUGUUAUCACGGGAGACACACGGCGGGUGCUAACGUCCGUCGUGAAGAGGGAAACAACCCAGACCGCCAGCUAAGGUCCCAAAGUCAUGGUUAAGUGGGAAACGAUGUGGGAAGGCCCAGACAGCCAGGAUGUUGGCUUAGAAGCAGCCAUCAUUUAAAGAAAGCGUAAUAGCUCACUGGUCGAGUCGGCCUGCGCGGAAGAUGUAACGGGGCUAAACCAUGCACCGAAGCUGCGGCAGCGACGCUUAUGCGUUGUUGGGUAGGGGAGCGUUCUGUAAGCCUGUGAAGGUGUGCUGUGAGGCAUGCUGGAGGUAUCAGAAGUGCGAAUGCUGACAUAAGUAACGAUAAAGCGGGUGAAAAGCCCGCUCGCCGGAAGACCAAGGGUUCCUGUCCAACGUUAAUCGGGGCAGGGUGAGUCGACCCCUAAGGCGAGGCCGAAAGGCGUAGUCGAUGGGAAACAGGUUAAUAUUCCUGUACUUGGUGUUACUGCGAAGGGGGGACGGAGAAGGCUAUGUUGGCCGGGCGACGGUUGUCCCGGUUUAAGCGUGUAGGCUGGUUUUCCAGGCAAAUCCGGAAAAUCAAGGCUGAGGCGUGAUGACGAGGCACUACGGUGCUGAAGCAACAAAUGCCCUGCUUCCAGGAAAAGCCUCUAAGCAUCAGGUAACAUCAAAUCGUACCCCAAACCGACACAGGUGGUCAGGUAGAGAAUACCAAGGCGCUUGAGAGAACUCGGGUGAAGGAACUAGGCAAAAUGGUGCCGUAACUUCGGGAGAAGGCACGCUGAUAUGUAGGUGAAGCGACUUGCUCGUGGAGCUGAAAUCAGUCGAAGAUACCAGCUGGCUGCAACUGUUUAUUAAAAACACAGCACUGUGCAAACACGAAAGUGGACGUAUACGGUGUGACGCCUGCCCGGUGCCGGAAGGUUAAUUGAUGGGGUUAGCGCAAGCGAAGCUCUUGAUCGAAGCCCCGGUAAACGGCGGCCGUAACUAUAACGGUCCUAAGGUAGCGAAAUUCCUUGUCGGGUAAGUUCCGACCUGCACGAAUGGCGUAAUGAUGGCCAGGCUGUCUCCACCCGAGACUCAGUGAAAUUGAACUCGCUGUGAAGAUGCAGUGUACCCGCGGCAAGACGGAAAGACCCCGUGAACCUUUACUAUAGCUUGACACUGAACAUUGAGCCUUGAUGUGUAGGAUAGGUGGGAGGCUUUGAAGUGUGGACGCCAGUCUGCAUGGAGCCGACCUUGAAAUACCACCCUUUAAUGUUUGAUGUUCUAACGUGGACCCGUAAUCCGGGUUGCGGACAGUGUCUGGUGGGUAGUUUGACUGGGGCGGUCUCCUCCUAAAGAGUAACGGAGGAGCACGAAGGUUGGCUAAUCCUGGUCGGACAUCAGGAGGUUAGUGCAAUGGCAUAAGCCAGCUUGACUGCGAGCGUGACGGCGCGAGCAGGUGCGAAAGCAGGUCAUAGUGAUCCGGUGGUUCUGAAUGGAAGGGCCAUCGCUCAACGGAUAAAAGGUACUCCGGGGAUAACAGGCUGAUACCGCCCAAGAGUUCAUAUCGACGGCGGUGUUUGGCACCUCGAUGUCGGCUCAUCACAUCCUGGGGCUGAAGUAGGUCCCAAGGGUAUGGCUGUUCGCCAUUUAAAGUGGUACGCGAGCUGGGUUUAGAACGUCGUGAGACAGUUCGGUCCCUAUCUGCCGUGGGCGCUGGAGAACUGAGGGGGGCUGCUCCUAGUACGAGAGGACCGGAGUGGACGCAUCACUGGUGUUCGGGUUGUCAUGCCAAUGGCACUGCCCGGUAGCUAAAUGCGGAAGAGAUAAGUGCUGAAAGCAUCUAAGCACGAAACUUGCCCCGAGAUGAGUUCUCCCUGACCCUUUAAGGGUCCUGAAGGAACGUUGAAGACGACGACGUUGAUAGGCCGGGUGUGUAAGCGCAGCGAUGCGUUGAGCUAACCGGUACUAAUGAACCGUGAGGCUUAACCUUACAACGCCGAAGCUGUU